UUGUUUUUGUUUUCCAUCCGGCAAAACCGCCGUUCAUCUCUUCCCCAACCUCCAUAUCUAUUUUCUUCCAAUGUUGAUCAAUAUAUAUAUCGAUUUGAUUGAGUACUCAUAGCGUUGAGUGCAUAAGGCGGAGGAUUAUCGACGGUGGUAAAAAGAUAGGAUAAGGAUUGGAAGAGAAAAGGUGCAAAGUGACUGAAACAUAAAGGUGUUCAAAGGGCUUAUGCUCAUAAGCCCGCCAGGUUAGUUCGCAUUGGAGAGUACCAGUUGAUGUUUGUUCAUGUCUGUCGCAGCGCUGCAUCCUUGGUGGGUCACUGUGCUCUAUUAGAGAUAGAUCUUUUGAAUUGUCAGUUGUGGCAUGUUAGAACUA
Salvia hispanica is the source of this 367-nucleotide long non-coding RNA. RefSeq lists it as uncharacterized. The record is from RefSeq and is a predicted model, not a curated record. NCBI's taxonomy places the organism in Eukaryota, Viridiplantae, Streptophyta, Magnoliopsida, Lamiales, Lamiaceae.